GAUGAACGCUGGCGGCGUGCCUAAUACAUGCCAGUCGAGCGGACGGACGAGAAGCUUGCUUCUCUGAUGUUAGCGGCGGACGGGUGAGUAACACGUGGAUAACCUACCUAUAAGACUGGUAUAACUUCGGGAAACCGGAGCUAAUACCGGAUAAUAUUUUGAACCGCAUGGUUCAAAAGUGAAAGACGGUCUUGCUGUCACUUAUAGAUGGAUCCGCGCUGCAUUAGAUAGUUGGUAAGGUAACGGCUUACCAAGGCAACGAGGCGUAGCCGACCGGAGAGGCUGAUAGGCCACACGGGAACGGAGACACGGUCCAGAGGCCUACGGGAGGCAGCAGUAGGGAAUGUGCGGCAAUGGGCGAAAGCCUGACGGAGCAACGCCGAGUGUGUGAUGAAGGUCUUCGGUUCGUAAAACUCUGUUAUUAGGGAAGAACAUAUGUGUAAGUAACUGUGCAGAGCUUGACGGUACCUGAUCAGAAAGCCACGGCUAACUACGUG
Molecule: ribosomal RNA, 497 nt
Filed under: uncultured bacterium
Lineage: Bacteria
Description: partial 16S ribosomal RNA
Rfam family: Bacterial small subunit ribosomal RNA
Source: RNAcentral